Molecule: ribosomal RNA, 446 nt
Filed under: uncultured bacterium
Lineage: Bacteria
Description: bacterial SSU rRNA
Rfam family: Bacterial small subunit ribosomal RNA
Source: RNAcentral
ACUCCUACGGGAGGCAGCAGUGGGGAAUAUUGCACAAUGGGGGCAACCCUGAUCCAGCCAUGCCGCGUGAGUGAUGAAGGCCUUAGGGUCGUAAAGCUCUUUCGCCUGUGAAGAUAAUGACGGUAGCAGGUAAAGAAACCCCGGCUAACUCCGUGCCAGCAGCCGCGGUAAUACGGAGGGGUUAGCGUUGUUCGGAAUUACUGGGCGUAAAGCGCACGUAGGCGGAUCGGAAAGUUGGGGGUGAAAUCCCGGGGCUCAACCCCGGAACGGCCUCCAAAACUAUCGGUCUAGAGUUCGAGAGAGGUGAGUGGAAUUCCGAGUGUAGAGGUGAAAUUCGUAGAUAUUCGGAGGAACACCAGUGGCGAAGGCGGCUCACUGGCUCGAUACUGACGCUGAGGUGCGAAAGUGUGGGGAGCAAACAGGAUUAGAUACCCUGGUAGACUGUC